UACGUAGGGGGCUAGCGUUGUCCGGAUUUAUUGGGCGUAAAGAGCGUGUAGGCGGCCAGGUAGGUCUGGUGUGAAAACUCGAGGCUUAACCUCGAGAUGUCAUCGGAAACCAUUUGGCUAGAGUCCGGAAGAGGAGAGUGGAAUUCCUGGUGUAGCGGUGAAAUGCGCAGAUAUCAGGAAGAACACCAAUGGCGAAAGCACUCUGCUGGGCCGACACUGACACUGAGAGACGAAAGCUAGGGGAGCAAAUGGG
RNAcentral lists this ribosomal RNA (253 nucleotides) under uncultured bacterium. RNAcentral describes it as "partial 16S ribosomal RNA". It matches the Rfam family "Bacterial small subunit ribosomal RNA", at positions 524 to 776 of the family's 1533-position model. The record is from RNAcentral.